AAACUAAAUUUGAUUGUGCAAUUGUUAUUCAGAACUUAAGAAAAACACAAUCAGUGUCAUAGCCUUUGGAAGAUGAAAAUAAUACUUAUAUUUUGCUACAUUUCCUCUAGUUUUGGGGGAAAGAUACACAUUUUUGAGGUCAUCUUUAUUUUCUCUGUUGUUAAGGUCAGAGCCAUGCAAAUUCUCAAAUUUAGUUCUUUAAACUUAAAAGUGUAAGUGUUGAGAUACUGCAGGAACAGGAGAAAAAGAUGAAUAGGACAUUGGUUUGUUGGAAAUUCUGUGGUAUAAAUUUACAAAUUGUAGAAUGACUUGUUGAAAUAGGGGUGCCAGUGCUUAGGAGAUGAGGCAAUGUUCCUUGGGAAACUAUUUCAUAGAGACUGGUAUGUCAUGGGGGUACAAAUUGAAGUCCAAAAAGAAAUGGCCAAUGAGAGGAGUAUCACUAAAUGGAAAAAAUCAACUUUAACGCAGAAUUGAUGACAGGUAACACCAAGAGAAAUACUGUAAAUAGCAGGGAAAGGACCAAUGAGGAACUUGGAGUUGAAGGUACAAUCCCUAACUACUAUAGAUUCAAGUGUCAUAAUGUUCUAAUGAAAUAUUUUUCAGAUUGUACUUUAUGACCAUAUGGUAUAGAUUAUAAACUACUUCAUAUGAAUAUGUGUUCCAUAAUCAAUUCACUUUUCUCCAGUUGUCUGUAUUCAUUCUAACACUUUUCUAAAGACAGUACCUUGUGUCUUACAAGUACCAUUCAUUAGUAAUUUUGAGCUAGUAGCUAAAAUGUUGGCCAGAAUGAUAAGCAGAGUGAAUUGUGACAUAAAGUUUUGCCUGAUUGUGCCAUAGCAGUGGCUAAAGUACAUUUAAAAACUUGGAUGGUUUAUAGCAAGAAAUGUGUGUUAUGCUAAAGUUUGCCUUCGUAUUUUCUGGUAUCUUGAGGAGAACUAAACCUGUAUAAGAUAUUCACAGCUGAGGCCCUGGAACAGAGAAUACUGAAGGAAAAAGCAGUCAUAGUUAAUUAAGUAAGGCUGCAUCUGUCAUGGAGGACUGCUGGACACAGCUGCUCAGCCUCUAAUUUUGAUGGAUGCAACUUGGGGAUGUUUGAAUAUGGUAAAUCUCUUUAAUGAUGGUAAAGUGUUUAUAAUAUUACUAAACCAACAUGUGAAUGAGUGAAUGAAUUAAUAGGGUCAAAAGUAAAAUACUACAGAAAGUUGUGAUAAACAUAGAAGAAUGACAGGAUAUAAAAACUCAGCACUUGGCAAUAAUCAUAAUUGUUUCAGCCAGGAAAAUCAAAAGAUUCUAAAACUCAUUGGAGAAAAUUUGAGGGGAAAUGAUACAUUUUAAAAUGUUUUUAAAAAUAUUUAUUUUAUUGAUGUAUAGUUGAUUUACAACUAUAAGACUUUUAAGUCUGAAGUUUGAUCAAAAUGAAUAUAAAAGAAUAUGUAGGGCAGAAUGUCUUGAAGCACAUGGUUUCAGGUGUACAUGCUCAGGAAAUAUGAAAGUGUGGAAUAAGAGCAUGAAUACUUUGAUACCAAUGGGUUUUGUCUGUAUCUGCAUUUGAACCAUUUAUAAUAGAACGUGUUUUUACUCACAGUUCCUUCACUUAGCAUGAUUUUUCAAAGUUCAGCCAUGUUAUAGCAUGGAUUGGGACUCCAUUUCUUUUUAUGGGUGAGUAAUACCCCGUUUAUAGAUCAUAUUUUGCUUGCGUAUUCAUUCAUCAAUUUAUGGCAUUCUACUAACUUAUUUCUGUUCUUUGGCUGUUUUGAAUAAUCUUGCUAUAAAUACUUAUGUGGAGAUUUUUGUGUAUAUGUAUUUUUUAGUUCUUUUAGGGAUAAGAACACAAGAAGUUGUCUGACCAGGAUUUUAAGAUCAUACUUGCUUCGUUUGAAGGUGUACAGGUCUGCACAGUGAGCAUUUGGUUGAAUAUUGGUGGAAACUCUUACUGUAGAAAUAAGUAAAUUGAAAAACCAAAAUAAACACAGUUGAAGCCCAUUGCCUCAUACCUGGUUCAUUCAAUUUGAAUGUAUUUAGUUUUUAUUAUUGUGCAUUUUUGUUAUUGUGUUCUUGUUUUAAAUAUGGAAUCAAUGUUGGUUUGCAUACAAAGCAUUUCAUUGUCUUACAACACUAAUUAUGAUGGAGAAAGGGCAUCUUGCAUAAGUGAAUUAAAUAUUCAAGGAUAGUAGGAUCAUUCAAAUCGGUAGAAUUCUGCCACAGAAAUAAAUUGAUUUUACUCAUAAUGUUCAUGAAGAACUAAAAUGAAAAACCUCUUCUCAUUGGUUUAAUAGCUGGUGUAGCCUCCCAUACUCAUUUUCAUCUCUACUUUCCACAUGUAAAUUAAGUGGCUUAGUAUGUUUCUAGGAUUAUGGACGCCUGUAUUAUUUCUUGGGUGUUUUCAGGAUCUGUCCUUUCUCACAGGCGAACAGCAAAAGGUGUCUUUAAAUGAAUGAGUCUGGAUCAUGUAUUUAUACAUUGUGAAAAAUCUGAAGAAAAUGAGAAACAAAAUGACUGUUGUUGAACCAUACUAUAUUUCUAUUCUAAGCAAGUCAAAGGCUAGAACAAGUUAUCAUACUUCAGGGAGGAAAGAAGGACUGAAAUGAGGGCCUCUACUUCAGAGAAUAGGGCUUCUUAAGGUGAAGUUCCAGGCAUGACUGUCCAUCACCUAGGAGACGAAGCCCCGCCCAUAAGGUGGUGACUCGAGGUGCAAGGGAGUCGGUGAGAAGUGUGGCAGGCCCAGGUUGCUGCCAAUUCUUUUUGGAUCAUCGAGCAUGGUACGCCUUCCCCUACCCAAAGACGUGUCAUGGAUUUCGGCUUUCCUGGGACUGCAUGAGUGGUGUUUUCAGGAACAGUUGUCGGGUAUGACUGUCCAUCACCCAGGAAAAGAGGCCAUGUGUGGUGACAUUGCCAGGUAUGACUGCCCGUCACCCAGGAUACGAAGCCCUGCCCGUGAGGUGGUGACUCAAGAUGCAGGGAGUCCACCAAGAAGUGUGGAGGGCCCAGGUUGCUACCUCUACUUUUUGGAUCACUGAGCAUGGAAUGCCUUCAACUAACCCAAGAUGUGUCAUGGAUUUACAGUUUCCUGGGACUGCCUGAGUAGCUGUGAAGUUCCCAAGUGUGAGUGUCCGUCACUCAGAAAAUGGAGCCCCGCUCGUGAGAUGGUGACUCGAGGUGCUCGGGAGUCCGGCGAGAAGUGUGGCGGGCCCAGCUUGCUGCCACUGCUUUUUGGAUCACCGAGCUCGGUGAAGUUCCCAAGUGUGAGUGUCCGUCACUCAGAAAAUGGAGCCCCGCUCGUGAGAUGGUGACUCGAGGUGCUCGGGAGUCCGGCGAGAAGUGUGGCGGGCCCAGGUUGCUGCCACUGCUUUUUGGAUCACCGAGCUCGGUGAAGUUCCCAAGUGUGAGUGUCCGUCACUCAGAAAAUGGAGCCCCGCUCGUGAGAUGGUGACUCGAGGUGCUCGGGAGUCCGGCGAGAAGUGUGGCGGGCCCAGCUUGCUGCCACUGCUUUUUGGAUCACCGAGCUCGGUGAAGUUCCCAAGUGUGAGUGUCCGUCACUCAGAAAAUGGAGCCCCGCUCGUGAGAUGGUGACUCGAGGUGCUCGGGAGUCCGGCGAGAAGUGUGGCGGGCCCAGGUUGCUGCCACUGCUUUUUGGAUCACCGAGCUCGGUGAAGUUCCCAAGUGUGAGUGUCCGUCACUCAGAAAAUGGAGCCCCGCUCGUGAGAUGGUGACUCGAGGUGCUCGGGAGUCCGGCGAGAAGUGUGGCGGGCCCAGCUUGCUGCCACUGCUUUUUGGAUCACCGAGCUCGGUGAAGUUCCCAAGUGUGAGUGUCCAUCACUCAGGAAAUGGAGCCCUGCUCGUGAGAUGGUGACUCGAGGUGCUAGGGAGUCCGGUGAGAAGUGUGGCGGGCCCAGGUUGCUGCCACUGCUUUUUGGAUCACCGAGCACGGUGAAGUUGCCAGGCAUGACUGUCCAUCACCCAGGAGACGAAGCCACACCUGUGAGGCGGUGAAUCGAGGUGCAGGGGAGUCUGACGAGAAGUGUGGUGGGCCCAGGUUGCUGCCAGGUCUUUUUGAAUCAACAAGCUCGGUGAAGUUGCCUGAUAUGACUGUCCAUCACCCAAGAGAUGAAGCCCUGCCAGUGAGGCAGUGACUCAAGGUGCAGAGGAGUCCGGUGAGAAGAGUGGUGGGCCCAGGUUGCUGCCACUGCUUUUUGGAUCACUGAGCAUGGUGAAGUUGCCAGGUGUGACUGUCUGUCACCCAGGAGAUGAAGCCCCACCUGUGAGGCAGUGACUCAAGGUGCAGAGGAGUCCGGCGAGAAGUGUGGCAUGCCCAAAUUGCUGCCACUGCUUUUUGGAUCACUGAGCACGGCAAAUUGAGUUGCCCAGGAUGGAAGACCAUUGUCAACAGGGAACCCGUCACACAUUCUGUGAAUCCCAGCCUGGUGAGACAAGGAGCAUGAGCCCCUGGGGGCCAUUGUGCAUGCAGCCCUUGUGUUUACAGAUGGAAUACCCAUGGAGGCCAGGUUGAGUGGCCCAAGACGGAAAACUGUUGGCAACAGGUUACCCAUCGCAUAUUCCAUGAUAGCCAGCCUCUCAAGAUGAAUCUCACGAAUCCCCAGAGGCAACUGGGCAAGUGGCCCUUGAGUGUACAGAUGGAACAACCAUGGCGUUGCCUUGAGUAUGCCAGGAUGGAAGACUGUUUGCAACAGAGAACCCGUCGCGUAUUCCAUGACAACUGUUCUGGCAAGACGAGGCGUGUGAGCCCCCAGGGGCUUCUGGGCAAUUGGUCCUUCAAUGUACAGGUGGAUCACCCAUGGCGAUUGAGUGGCCCAGGAUGGAAGACCAUUGGCAUCAGGCACCCAUCACAUAUUCCAUGACUCCCAGCCUGGAAAGUCGAGGCCUACGAGCUGCCACAGGCCACUGGACACGCGGCCCUUGGUGGUACAGGAGGAACGCCAAUGGCUGUGCAUUUGGAGUAUUAGGAAGGACAACAGUGGCAGAUGUAUGGACCAUCCAACAGUUUUCCUCUCCCAUAAUCGGUUUCCUUUGUGGCGGAACUCCAGAUCCACAAGAGGAGGACAGUUGUAUGUAAAUUUGAAGAGUUUGCAACCCCAUGAACUGUAGCCUGCCAGGCUCCUCUAUCUAUGGGAUUCUCCAGGCAAGAAUACUGGAAUGGGAAGCCAUUCCCUUCUCCAGGGGAUCUUCUUGACUCAGGGAUUGAACUCUUGUCUCCUGCAUUGUAGGCGAAUUCCUUACCAUCUGAGACAGGAAGCCCAACUGAAAACUGGAAGUGAUGUUAGAGAGAAGGGAUAUUUUGCUGCUUGGAAUUCCACUGCCACUCCAAAGAAGUGCUGUUUUCGUCACUUGUACGAGCUCCUUUCUCUGGGAAAAUUCACAGCAAUGCUUUCUAGAGACUGACAUGUUCCAAACACUAGGUUUCCUGUGGAUGAGCUUAUUCCUUCCCCUUGAGAUGAGACAUAAAGAAAAGUGUCAGGAAUAAUUCUGCCUCCAUCCCCAAAGGCCUGUGUGAAUUCUCACAAAGAAGAUGACUUCCUGGGAGCUCUUUUGGUCAUGAACGAUACCAGUAAACCCCUGAAGGAAGACUCUUCAGACAGAGCCCUUUUGCCUCCCUCUUGUCUGAGGGCUGCCUCUGAAGGUGAUGACCACAGAGACAAGGUGGAUUUGUUACUGUAGGUGCCAUUACUUCUGCCACCAGCUUCUCCAAUACAGUGACAGUCUUCUUUGUGCAUGGAAACUCUUCUCUUUCCUGUGUUGCAGUGGAUACCUCCUGCAGAUAAGAAAUGGUUAACUGAGAAAUGCUCAUGUUGGGAUAUCAUCGAUGAGACUUUAAUUUGGGCAUGGUGACUGUUUCCCUUGCUUCCACUUGACUCAAUCCCAGGAGCCUCAGUAGAGGAAAUUAUAUUGCACAAGUGAUGGAAUUGCUCAGUACUCCCAUAAAUAUACAUUUAUAAUUUUCAUUUGCCAUGUAGUAAAUUAAAAAAAUAAGAUCUAUUAAUUUUUUUUUUCAAAAACUCAAAGCAUAUCUAAACAUCUAAUAUAUAAAUUAAGUGCCCUUUUCUCUCCUAUCUCCAAGUUUUCCUCUAUUAAGGGAGUUGUGUGCCUUCUUUAAGCAGAUAGAUGCACACACACAGACACAAGCUAUUUUAGGGGGUUCUGGAAGUAGAGCUAUAUUGUACACAUUAUUCUGCAAAUUUGCUUUCAUUUAACAGUUUUUUCAAUGCCCUUUUUUCUGUUUCAGUAAUACAUAUCUGUGUCAUCUGUUGAAUGACUGCAUGAUUGUUUUGUACAUGAAAUAUAAUCAAAUGUUUCAAACAUUUCUUAUUCAUAGAUAUUUAUGUUAGUGCCAAAAAUUGCUGUGCAGUGAACCUCCCUAUAUAUCAAUAAUUUGCAUUUGUCUAUUAUAUCAUAAUAAAUUACUUAACAGUUAAAA
RNA transcript from Capra hircus (goat), 6430 nucleotides. RefSeq lists it as uncharacterized. Lineage: Eukaryota; Metazoa; Chordata; Mammalia; Artiodactyla; Bovidae. The record is from RefSeq and is a predicted model, not a curated record. The transcript is spliced from 26 exons.